CCUACGGGUGGCUGCAGUGGGGAAUAUUGGACAAUGGGCGCAAGCCUGAUCCAGCCAUGCCGCGUGAGUGAUGAAGGCCUUAGGGUUGUAAAGCUCUUUCACCCACGACGAUAAUGACGGUAGUGGGAGAAGAAGCCCCGGCUAACUUCGUGCCAGCAGCCGCGGUAAUACGAAGGGGGCUAGCGUUGUUCGGAUUUACUGGGCGUAAAGCGUACGUAGGCGGACCGUUAAGUCGGAGGUGAAAUCCUGGGGCUCAACCCCAGAACUGCCUUCGAUACUGGCGGUCUCGAGUCCGGGAGAGGUGAGUGGAACUGCCAGUGUAGAGGUGAAAUUCGUAGAUAUUGGCAAGAACACCAGUGGCGAAGGCGGCUCACUGGCCCGGUACUGACGCUGAGGUACGAAAGCGUGGGGAGCAAACAGGAUUAGAUACCCGAGUAGUC
RNAcentral lists this ribosomal RNA (440 nucleotides) under uncultured bacterium. Its description in RNAcentral is "partial 16S ribosomal RNA". It matches the Rfam family "Bacterial small subunit ribosomal RNA", at positions 338 to 795 of the family's 1533-position model. The record is from RNAcentral.